Molecule: non-coding RNA, 22 nt
Filed under: Arabidopsis thaliana (thale cress)
Lineage: Eukaryota; Viridiplantae; Streptophyta; Magnoliopsida; Brassicales; Brassicaceae
Source: RNAcentral
UUGUUGGAGUCCUACCAUCAUC